ACCCAAGUGGCUGAAGGGUCCGCACUCGAAAUGCGGUAGGUCGGGCAACCGGCGCGAGGGUUCAAAUCCCUCCAUCU
Molecule: transfer RNA, 77 nt
Filed under: Eubacteriales bacterium
Lineage: Bacteria; Bacillati; Bacillota; Clostridia; Eubacteriales
Description: tRNA-Ser
Rfam family: tRNA
About the family: Transfer RNA (tRNA) molecules are approximately 80 nucleotides in length. Their secondary structure includes four short double-helical elements and three loops (D, anti-codon, and T loops).
Source: RNAcentral